UAUUAAAAAUUUCAUCCCUACUAUUAAAAGCUGACGUCACUGAUGGAAUAAUUGAAGAGUUACAAAUAAUGUACUAUGUGUAUCUCAUGCUGACAUACAUGAACCAGUUUUUAACAAUGGGAAUAAAUAGAGCUUUUAGCA
Gossypium hirsutum (cotton) is the source of this 141-nucleotide non-coding RNA. Lineage: Eukaryota; Viridiplantae; Streptophyta; Magnoliopsida; Malvales; Malvaceae. The record is from Rfam.